UACCUUCCUACUUGGAUACCUGUGGUAAUUCUAGAGCUAAUACAUGCUACAAACCCCAACUAAAGAAGGGGCGUAUUUAUUAGAUAAAAAACCAAUGCCCUCCGGGGCUCACUGGUGAUUCAUAAUAACUUAACGAAUCGCAUGGCCUUGCGCCGGCGAUGGUUCAUUCAAAUUUCUGCCCUAUCAACUUUCGAUGGUAGGAUAGUGGCCUACCAUGGUUUCUACGGGUAACGGGGAAUUAGGGUUCUAUUCCGGAGAGGGAGCCUGAGAAACGGCUACCACAUCCAAGGAAGGCAGCAGGCGCGCAAAUUACCCAAUCCCGACACGGGGAGGUAGUGACAAUAAAUACUGAUGGAGAGCUCUUUUGGGUUUUCUAGUUGGAAUGAGUACAAUUUAAAUUUCUUAACGAGGAACAAUUGGAGGGCAAGUCUGGUGCCAGCAGCCGCGGUAAUUCCAGCUCCAAUAGCGUAUAUUAAAGUUGUUGCAGUUAAAAAGCUCGUAGUUGAAACUCAGGCCUGGCUGGCCGGUCCGCCUCACCGCGAGCACUGGUUCGGCCGGGCUUUUUCCUUCUGGGGAGCCGCAUGCCCUUCACUGGGUGCGUUGGGGAACCAGGACUUUUACUUUGAAAAAAUUAGAGUGUUCAAAGCAGGCAUAUGCUCGGAUACAUUAGCAUGGAAUAAUAGAAUAGGACGUGUGGUUCUAUUUUGUUGGUUUCUAGGACCGCCGUAAUGAUUAAUAGGGAUAGUCGGGGGCAUCAGUAUUCAAUUGUCAGAGGUGAAAUUCUUGGAUUUAUUGAAGACUAACUACUGCGAAAGCAUUUGCCAAGGAUGUUUUCAUUAAUCAGUGAACGAAAGUUAGGGGAUCGAAGACGAUCAGAUACCGUCGUAGUCUUAACCAUAAACUAUGCCGACUAGGGAUCGGACGGUGUUACUAUAUUGACCCGUCCGGCACCUUACGAGAAAUCAAAGUUUUUGGGUUCUGGGGGGAGUAUGGUCGCAAGGCUGAAACUUAAAGACAUUGACGGAAGGGCACCACCAGGCGUGGAGCCUGCGGCUUAAUUUGACUCAACACGGGGAAACUCACCAGGUCCAGACACAUUAAGGAUUGACAGAUUGAGCGUUCUUUCAUGAUCAUGUGGGUGGUGGU
This 1146-nucleotide ribosomal RNA is filed under the name Peltigera rufescens. RNAcentral's name for it is "SSU rRNA". It matches the Rfam family "Eukaryotic small subunit ribosomal RNA", at positions 128 to 1281 of the family's 1831-position model. The record is from RNAcentral. Lineage: Eukaryota; Fungi; Ascomycota; Lecanoromycetes; Peltigerales; Peltigeraceae.